UAGCUCACAGUUAUGAUUAUUUGCCUAAAU
RNAcentral lists this non-coding RNA (30 nucleotides) under Rattus norvegicus (Norway rat). The record is from RNAcentral. Lineage: Eukaryota; Metazoa; Chordata; Mammalia; Rodentia; Muridae.